RNAcentral lists this ribosomal RNA (395 nucleotides) under uncultured bacterium. RNAcentral describes it as "partial 16S ribosomal RNA". It matches the Rfam family "Bacterial small subunit ribosomal RNA", at positions 338 to 730 of the family's 1533-position model. The record is from RNAcentral.
CCUACGGGAGGCAGCAGUGAGGAAUAUUGGUCAAUGGGCGCGAGCCUGAACCAGCCAAGUCGCGUGCAGGAAGACGGUCCUAUGGGUUGUAAACUGCUUUUGUCGGGGAGUAAAUGAAGCCACGUGUGGCGUUCUGAGAGUAUCGUACGAAUAAGGAUCGGCUAACUCCGUGCCAGCAGCCGCGGUAAUACGGAGGAUUCGAGCGUUAUCCGGAUUUAUUGGGUGUAAAGGGUGCGUAGGCGGACGGAUAAGUUAGGGGGGAAAUCUAGGGGGUUAACCCUGUAAUGGCCGUUGAUACUGGUUUGCUUGAGUGUAGGAGCGGUAGGCGGAAUGCAUGGUGUAGCGGUGAAAUGCUUAGAGAUCACGCAGAACACCGAUUGCGAAGGCAGCUUACC